UCCAGGAUUUGGAACAACAUAUUGAAGUGAACGUUGAUAUCUUUAUAAAAUUGUAUGCUGGAGGAAAUGUAGAGACAAGACAAAGACAGAAUUAUAGAUUACUAUUGUAAUGCUUGCGAGCAAAAAAACUUACUCCGCUAGAACAAUGACCCUAAAUUGGUCUUGGCCUCUUGACACAAGAAAUUGCCAAAUUUGUGGAAGCAAGAAAAGGAAUGGAAAUAUUUAAAACCAUCAUUGUUGAUUAUCUACAGUAUUCCAGAUUAAGAUUAGGAAAAACUGGGUUUAUUUUAACAUAACUGCUGCUUACAAAUAAAACGGAAACCCAUAAGGAACUACACCAUGUCCAGAGGGAUUACGCGGAUCUGAAGAAUAUGCAGUACUAUGUUUACACGCAAUUAAUUCGUUGUGAUUAACUUUCAAAUAUAAAAAGAACUUAA
Papilio xuthus (Asian swallowtail) is the source of this 437-nucleotide long non-coding RNA. RefSeq lists it as uncharacterized. The transcript has 5 exons. Lineage: Eukaryota; Metazoa; Arthropoda; Insecta; Lepidoptera; Papilionidae. The record is from RefSeq and is a predicted model, not a curated record.